GGGCAGGUGGCGGAAUGGCAGACGCGCAGGACUUAGAAUCCUGUCCUGAGAGGGGUGCGGGUUCAAGUCCCGCCUUGCCCA
RNAcentral lists this transfer RNA (81 nucleotides) under Candidatus Kaelpia aquatica. RNAcentral describes it as "tRNA-Leu". It matches the Rfam family "tRNA". Rfam says of the family: Transfer RNA (tRNA) molecules are approximately 80 nucleotides in length. Their secondary structure includes four short double-helical elements and three loops (D, anti-codon, and T loops). Lineage: Bacteria; Pseudomonadati; Candidatus Omnitrophota. The record is from RNAcentral.